AACUAACGCUGGCGGCGUGCCUAACACAUGCAAGUCGUACGAGAAAGUCGGCUUCGGCUGAUGAGUAAAGUGGCGCACGGGUGAGUAACGCGUGGAUAAUCUGCCCUUGAGUGUGGAAUAACGUACCGAAAGGUGCGCUAAUACCGCAUAAUGCCUGGCAACACAAGUUGUCCGGCCAAAGAAGGCCUCUGUUUACAAGCUUUUGCUCAAGGAUGAGUCCGCGUACCAUUAGCUAGUUGGUGGGGUAACGGCCUACCAAGGCUACGAUGGUUAGCUGGUCUGAGAGGAUGAUCAGCCACACUGGAACUGAGACACGGUCCAGACUCCUACGGGAGGCAGCAGUGAGGAAUAUUGCGCAAUGGGGCAACCCGUGACGCAGCAACGCCGCGUGAGUGAGGAAGGUUUUCGGACUGUAAAGCUCUGUCCGAGCCGGGAGAAAUGUACCAUGGCUAAUAUCCCAUGAUAUUUGACGGUACCGCUAGAGG
This 485-nucleotide ribosomal RNA is filed under the name uncultured bacterium. RNAcentral's name for it is "bacterial SSU rRNA". It matches the Rfam family "Bacterial small subunit ribosomal RNA", at positions 29 to 487 of the family's 1533-position model. The record is from RNAcentral.